Long non-coding RNA from Nycticebus coucang (slow loris), 2635 nucleotides. RefSeq lists it as uncharacterized. The transcript is spliced from 3 exons. The record is from RefSeq and is a predicted model, not a curated record. NCBI's taxonomy places the organism in Eukaryota, Metazoa, Chordata, Mammalia, Primates, Lorisidae.
AUCAUUGGCGAUUUCAACAUUUCGGAUUCGAGAGUGUGUCUUUCAGGAUUUGGGCCCAGACCUUCCUGGAUUAUGUGGUGAUUGCUGUAAUCCCGGGGUUCCCAUAGGAGGCAGCAGGAGAGCCAAGGUAAAGGGAUGCAGGUACCGAUGGAGGAGGCGACUCGAGUGGGGAUGCGAGAUCUCUGGGAGCUGUGAAGACACAGAUGCUCCGGGAACCCAUCCGGUCUACCCAUCCAUCAAUCUACCCUGUCACUCACCCACCCUUCUAUCUGUCCAUUUACCCAUCAUUUCCAGAAUCCCCACCCUAUUUCCAAAUCUUGCCUUGCAUAAAUAGGGAUAUAAUGGUGAAUUUGGCAUGAUUCCUUUCCCUCAAGAAGCUCCUGUGGUGUAGUGGGGAGAAACAAACAUGAUGGCGAUGGCAGUUAACUUUUACUGGAGACUUAAUACACAUGUGUGCACAUGUGAGCAAACAUGCGGAUGUGUGUAACAGGCACCUGCCUCCACCCCUGAAGACUCUGGGAAAGGUAGUGCUAUGGCCCCUGGCUCUGGGAUUGGUCAUCACUGAAGGGAAAUGACUGAACCAUCAACCAUUAAACAGGAGAAAAAACACUCUGACUGGAACAGAGGAAACAAAUCACUGAGGUCCUAGGCUCGUGGUAAUGACAGUCACCCUUGGCUUCGGGCGGGACUGGUAGGAUCUUGCUGCUUCUUCCCAGCAGACCCACCAGAUCCCCUCCCUUUUGAGUUGUUUUUCUGAAGCAGUGGGCCCUUCUCGCAGUAAUGAGAUAAUCCCAAGGCCUUACACUAACCGAUUGUUCACAGAAGUCCAGGUAACUGCUGUGGAGAAGCAGCCAGGGCCUGAGAGUGAGCGUGGUGACGAGCCGUUUUCAUCUCCCAAAUGCUGGCGGGGUCGGAGCUCAGCUCUGGGAAGAGGCUUGCCGAGACAAGUGCCAGAGGAACUGUCCCUCUCUCUCUGUCAGACAGAUGGGCUGAUUACAAGAGGACACCGAGGCCAGCCUCCCCCCCUCCUUGCCCCCCGACGGUCCAUGACUUGCCCUGAGUGGCCUGGUACUGAGCAGCCUCGUGGGCCCAGCGCUCACUCUGAGAACCUGCCCCAGCCUGCAGCACCCUGCUCAGUGGGGGGCCCCUUGCACUGUCUGAGGGACUCCCUAGGGGUGACAGACCCUUCUCACCGAAAGCCUCAAGGUCACCCCUGAAGGCUGACAUUGGCCUGCUGGGAAAGCAAGAACUGGGGCUCUGGGGACCCCAGCUCCAGAUGCGACUCCCAGUUCUUUAGCACUUGAGCAUCCUGACCUUUAGGUUACCUUCCUGAGCCUCGGCUGUCCCACCUGUACGGUGCCACAGGUAAGAUCCAGGAGGAAUGGCAAUGACAUUUAUAAACACCAGAAGAAAAGGGACUGCCAGUGAAAAUUCCAGUGGUUUCCUUCCCAUGGAAAAUGCCAGACUGAUCUGCAAAUGGACACGGCCACGCCGAGCACUGAGAGUGAUCAUGACAGUGAGCAGAGCAGGACUGAGCCAGAGCAGCUCACACCUGUUACCGUGUGGCUCAUGGAGACGGCCAGGUGUGAUUCAGGAGCAGAUGGAGACCCAGCCAGGAAAUAGUCCAGACACUGGUUGACAGGGACAGUGCCACAACCCCAGGGACAUGAGAGGGCUUCCCAGAGGGUGGUCUUGGAGCAGUUGGGUGUCCUUAGAGGGAAGCAGACCUUGACCCCUACUUGACACACACCCAGCUGGAUCAUGUGGGAUCUGUCGUGGAUCUCAAGGCAGAAAGCAAAGUGGUGUAUCUUUCAGAAGAAAAUAGAACACCGUCUUCACGACUUAAGGGAUGGACAAAGAUUUCUUCUCUAGUAAAUAUGAAGUCUAAACAUAAAGGUCAAAACUGGUAAGUCAGGCUGUAACAAAAUUAAGGACAUUUGGUCCAGGGAGAGCUGCCACCGGAGAGCAAGAGGCCAGGGAGGGGGGACUGCAUUACAGACAGCUACAAAUCAGUAAGAAAAUGGCAGAUAAAACAGAAGUGGGUGAAGAGUUUAAACAGAAACACUACGGCUCGGCACCUGUGGCUCAAGCAGCUAAGGCGCCAGCCAUAUACACCUGAGCUGGCAGGUUCGAAUCCAGCCUGGGCCUGCCAAACAACAAUGACGGCUAAUAGCCGGGCGUUGUGGCUGGCUCCUGCAGUCCCAGCUACUUGGGAGGCGGAGGCAGGAGAAUCGCUUUAGCCCAGGAGUUGUAGGUUGCUGUGAGCUGUGAUGCCAGAGCAUUCUACCCAGGGCGACAGCUUGAGGCUCUGUCUCAAAAAAAAAAAAAAAUACUUAACAAAGAGAUGAUUCAAAUGAUCAAUAAUAAACAUGUAAAGGUGGCUCACCUGUCAGUCAUGACGGGAGUGUAAGUUGAGAAUACAGUAUGUUACUGGGACACAGCCACCAGAAUGCAAAGGGUACCCUGGCGGACAUUCACCGGUGUGUGUGGAGCAGCCAGAGUUGCAGAGCUGGUGGGGGUAGAAAAGGGUUCAAGCACUUUGAGCCACUUGGUUUGAACCAAAACCAUCCAGUAGUGUCCCUCCCCUCCCCCCCCCACUAUGACUUCUACUUUCCCUGAGCAAUGGAGAUGCACG